Molecule: unclassified non-coding RNA, 335 nt
Filed under: uncultured Entrophosporaceae
Lineage: Eukaryota; Fungi; Glomeromycota; Glomeromycetes; Entrophosporales; Entrophosporaceae
Description: uncultured Claroideoglomeraceae sequence contains 18S rRNA gene
Source: RNAcentral
CCCAACUAUCCCUAUUAAUCAUUACGUGGUCCUAAAACCAACAAAAUAGAACCAUUGUCCUAUUUUAUUAUUCCAUGCUAAUGUAUUCAAGCAAAAAUGCCCGCUUUAAACUCUAAUUUUUUCAAAGUAAAGGUCCUGAUUCAUCGAAACACCCAAGAGCAUCCCGACUCACCAGAAGGUGAGAAAUUGGCUACACACCAUUUCAUGCCCCUAAAAGCAUGACCGAUAUAUCCCAAUCCCGAAAUUCAACUACGAGCUUUUUAACCGCAACAACACUAAUAUACACUAUUGGAGCUGGAAUUACCGCGGCUGCUGGCACCAGACUUGCCCUCCAA